CAACACAAACAAGUUUUGAGGGAAACAACAUUUUAUUCCUUGAUCGGCCUCAUUAUAAAUCUUACAUCGUGCGACCGUAUCGGGGCGAUGACGACGAAGCACGUUGUGCGGGUGUGUGGCCAACACAUCUGACUGUGGAGCAAUAGGUGAGGCUAGUGGUCACCAUAGCUAAUAGGGAAGAGGCGGUGGAGCAGCGGCGGUGGCGGCCUGGACUUGAGUGCAGAGUCGACGAGGGAGACAGAGAGAGUCGACUCGAUUGGAUUCAGGAAAUAGGGAGAGUGAGAGAGUGGGAAAGUGUCGUGACCGUAUAACCGUGAGUGAGUCUGUGACCUAAAGAAAACCCUAAAUGUGUCGAACACCGUGCCAAGCUGAUCCAUUCACGGCCCAUGUCGAUGUGUCAGGUCUG
Molecule: long non-coding RNA, 406 nt
Filed under: Zea mays
Lineage: Eukaryota; Viridiplantae; Streptophyta; Magnoliopsida; Poales; Poaceae
Description: long non-coding RNA NONZMAT000137
Source: RNAcentral